AGUUUCCAUCCCGUUGCAUUACUUUAUGAUGAUAUCAUCUUUUCUAUUUUUCGUAUAGAAAAUCAUCACGAGGAUCAGUAAAUCCUUUGCAAUCUUGAACAGCAAAAAUUGCAAAUACCAACAAAAACGUUACAUAAGUUCCACGCAUCAUGUAACCAAUCAUCAGCAGCAGAAACUCCAAGAACUCAAACUUUCUGCUUCCUGUUCUU
RNAcentral lists this long non-coding RNA (209 nucleotides) under Nicotiana benthamiana. RNAcentral describes it as "long non-coding RNA (NBEN_LNC037011)". Lineage: Eukaryota; Viridiplantae; Streptophyta; Magnoliopsida; Solanales; Solanaceae. The record is from RNAcentral.